UUUUUGGUAUAACUAUGUUCCAUGCAACAUUUGGGAUAUAUUUCUGCUAAAA
Molecule: microRNA precursor, 52 nt
Filed under: Marmota monax (woodchuck)
Lineage: Eukaryota; Metazoa; Chordata; Mammalia; Rodentia; Sciuridae
Source: RNAcentral